RNAcentral lists this ribosomal RNA (497 nucleotides) under uncultured bacterium. RNAcentral's name for it is "partial 16S ribosomal RNA". It matches the Rfam family "Bacterial small subunit ribosomal RNA", at positions 28 to 507 of the family's 1533-position model. The record is from RNAcentral.
GAUGAACGCUGGCGGCGUGCCUAAUACAUGCAAGUCGAGCGAACGGACGAGAAGCUUGCUUUUCUGAUGUUAGCGGCGGACGGGUGAGUAACACGUGGAUAACCUACCUAUAAGACUGGGAUAACUUCGGGAAACCGGAGCUAAUACCGGAUAAUAUUUUGAACCGCAUGGUUCAAAAGGGAAAGACGGUCUUGCUGUCACUUAUAGAUGGAUCCGCGCUGCAUUAGCUAGUUGGUAAGGUAACGGCUUACCAAGGCAACGAUGCAUAGCCGACCUGAGAGGGUGAUCGGCCACACUGGAACUGAGACACGGUCCAGACUCCUACGGGAGGCAGCAGUAGGGAAUCUUCCGCAAUGGGCGAAAGCCUGACGGAGCAACGCCGCGUGAGUGAUGAAGGUCUUCGGAUCGUCAAACUCUGUUAUUAGGGAAGAACAUAUGUGUAAGUAACUGUGCACAUCUUGCCGGUACCUAAUCAGAAAGCCACGGCUAACUACGUG